UGUAGGUUUGUGAGUUUGAGAUGAGGGGAGGGGACUAAAGGUGAUGUCUAGUGUCAGUAAGGCUGCGUUUGUCACUGUGUUUCAGGAUGAGUGUAGGUUUGUGAGUUUGAGAUGAGGAGAGGGAACUAAAGGUGAUGUCUAGUGUCUGUAAGGCUGUGUUUGUCACUGUGUUUCAGGACGAGUGUAGGUUUGUGAGUUUGAGAUGAGGGGAGGGGACUAGAGGUGAUGUCUAGUGUCAGUAAGGCUGUGUGUUUGUCACUGUGUUUCAGGAUGAGUGUAGGUUUGAGAUGAGGGAAGGGGACUAGAGGUGAUGUCUAGUGUCAGUAAGGCUGUGUGUUUGUCACUAUGUUUCAGGACGAGUGUAGGUUUGUGAGUUUGAGAUGAGGGAAGGGGACUAGAGUUGAUGUCUAGUCUCAGUAAGGCUGUGUGUUUGUCACUGUGUUUCAGGACGAAUGUAGGUUUGAGAUGCGGGAAGGGGACUAGAGGUGAUGUCUAGUGUCAGUAAGGCUGUGUGUCUGUCACUGUGUUUCA
Molecule: long non-coding RNA, 531 nt
Organism: Mizuhopecten yessoensis (Yesso scallop)
Lineage: Eukaryota; Metazoa; Mollusca; Bivalvia; Pectinida; Pectinidae
Exons: 3
Source: RefSeq, a predicted model, not a curated record